This is a long non-coding RNA of Gossypium raimondii (Peruvian cotton), 1745 nucleotides long. RefSeq lists it as uncharacterized. The record is from RefSeq and is a predicted model, not a curated record. Lineage: Eukaryota; Viridiplantae; Streptophyta; Magnoliopsida; Malvales; Malvaceae. The transcript is spliced from 2 exons.
UUCAAAAAUAGAAAACGAGAAAAGGAUUAAAUUAAAACGCGCGCAACAGGAGGAGGACCGAAAAAGAAAUUUACCCAAACCUCCUAAAACGCCGCAUUUAAAAGGGGUUAAAAUAAUAAAAUUGGAAACCAAUGGGGCAAAUUCAAAAAAUUUUAGAAACAAAUUAAAGCAAUACAACAAAUCAAGAGGGUCAAAAGCACAAAUAUCCCAUUGGGAUAAAACAUGCGGGCUGUAAGAAGAAGGAAAGAAAAGCUGCUCCAUUUUCCCCCUUUGCUCCUCACAUUGGCAUUCUUCCCUGCUUUUUCCAACUCCGAUUCAAACCAAGCUCAGCGAGAGCAUCAACGACAUGCCGCCAUCGGGUGUCGAGGUCGUGGAAGAGGCGUAUGACGUGUGCGAAAGCUGCUGAACUUGGGGGCAAUUGCUGCGGCACUGAGGAAAGGAAAAAAAACUGCUGCUAGGGUUUCUGUUACCUUUGGCCAAUUGUGCCUUGUAAUUGGGUUAGAAUUGACCCAAGUUUAUUGGGUUUGGUUAUAUAUAAUUUGGGCUCGGGCAACAAUUGGGUAUUACAGGCGUGUUCAAUUAAAAAAAGCUAGUUGGAUUCCGUCAAAGGAGAUAGUGAUCGGAUUUAAAUGACCCACACGAUUGAGGCCGUUAAUUUGAGUUAGGCUUUUCAGAUCACAAGGCUGUCGAAGUAUUAAAUUAUAGGUACGUGCCACGUGGUUGGAAAUUCCACAAGGGUCGAUUUAUAGGUGAUAUCGGGAUCGGCUACGAAAGGUAGAGUUGGCGAUUUAGGGGAUCCUCGAUUACUAUAACUAGCUUAUCGCUUGGAAGGGAAAAUCUGUUUCAAUGAUCGAUUGAAAAUUGGAGUACACCGAGGCUAAGACUAAGCUUUAAAAAUAUUUUAUUUACCAAUUUAUUUUAUUUCUCUUAAUUUAUUUUGCAAUCACAUUUUUGCUUUAUUUUAUAUACAUAUAUUUUUAUCUUCUUUUAAUAUUAUUAUCUCUAUUAACUAAACCCCCUUUUUAUUUUCCAACAUUGCAACAUGUAUAGGUCAUGGGCACGACUGUUACCACGACAUGAAUUCUGGUCACAAGAAAGGCAAAAUUAGAUAACCAGUCCCUGUAGAUUCGACCCUAUUGCUCUAUAUUCAAUUUACUAUAUUUUUGUCGUAGGAAUUUAUAUUUGGUGGUUUCGACGCCCAUAAGAAAGUAUAUGGUCUGUUAAGUCAAGAGUUCUUUGUGAAAGUAGAGAAAAAAUGUAUUUUCCCAAUAUUAGAGUUCGUCUGGGGAUACUAUCCUUCAAGGAUAGGUAUCCGCCACAAAUCUAUGUUGAAAAGUACACCCAUAUGUACCUACGUAUAGAGUGUCAACUUAGUAAAUUGUGUGUAUGUUUAUAUUUAUGUUGUAUUAUCCCUACUUUUGUAAUUUGUCUGGAAGGGGUUAAACUCUUUUAAUUCUGGAGCUCACUAAGUUCUUUCGAACUUACUCCGUUUCUUUCCCUUUUUCUAGGUGGUACUUCGUCGUAAAGCUUGUAGAAGGGAUUCAGUCAGAAGGAGCGACCUCUACUGUGAGCUUCGUCGAUGUUUGUUUUGUAACUUGCAUAUAUUUUAGGGGUGGCGUGUAUUGCUGUUUUGUAAGCAAGAUCUGUAAUAAAAUACUUCUUUAUAAGCCUCUGUUUUAAAAGUAUGUUACCCUUGAGGGAUUGGCUAAGCUUUGAUGAAGUUCGUAUAUGAGGUAUUUUCUAAA